CUUAUUUGAUAGGGUGCCCGUACCGUUAACCGACACAGGUGGAAUAGAUGAGUAUUCUAAGGCGCGUGGGUUAAAUCUCUCUAAGGAACUCGGCAAACUGACCCCGUAUGUUAGCUAUAAGGGGUGCCUCGCAAGAGGCCACAGAUAAGAGUGUCAACCGACUGUUUAGCAAAAACACAGCUCUCUGCUAAGUCGCAAGACGACGUAUAGGGAGUGACAUGUGACCAAUGCGGAAAGGUGAAAGCCUGGGGUGCAAGCUCCGGGUCUAAGCCCCCGUGAAUGUCGGCCGUAACUAUAACGGUCCUAAGGUAGCGAAAUUCCUUGUCGGGUAAGUUCCGACCCGCACGAAUCAUGUAACGAGUUGACAACUGUCUCGGAGAGAGGCCCAGUGAAAUUGUAGUGGCGGUGAAGAUGCCGCCUACCCGCAGCAGGACGGAAAGACCCUAUGCACCUUUACUGUAAGCUGUUAUUGUCGCUUGAUUUUUAAUACGUAGCAUAGCUGGGAGACUGCGAAGCCUGCCUUCAGGGGCGGGCCGAGUCGAAAUAUGAAAUACCAGUUUUUAAUUGUUAGGCGUCUAACCUCGACCCAUUAUCUGGGCGUGGGACAGUGAUAGCAGGUCAGUUUUUCUGGGGCGGAAUCCUCCCAAAGAGUAACGGAGGAUUACGAAGGUUCCCUCAGCCCGGUCGGUAAUCGGGCUAUAGAGCGCAUGAGUAUAAGGGAGCUUUACUGUGAGACCAACAAGUCGAGCAGUUGCGAAAGCAGGUUCAAGUGAUCCGGUGGUUGAAUGUGGAAUCGCCAUCGCUCAUAGGACAAAAGGUACGCUAGGGAUAACAGGCUGAUCGCGCCCAAGCGUUCACAGCGACGGCGCGGUUUGGCACCUCGAUGUCGGCUCAUCACAUCCUGGGGCUGGAGAAGGUCCCAAGGGUCCGGCUGUUCGCCGGUUAAAGUGGUACGCGAGCUGGGUUCAGAACGUCGUGAGACAGUUUGUCCUCUAUCCGCUGUGGGCGUUUGUGAUUUGAGGGGUUCAUUCUCUAGUACGAGAGGACCGAGAAUGACGCACCGCUGGUGUUCCGGUUGUCACGUCAGUGGCAGCGCCGGGUAGCUAUGUGCGGAAGAGAUAAGCGCUGAAAGCAUCUAAGCGCCAAGCUCCUCCCAAGAUAAGAUCACAAUCCGUCGCAAGACGGUGCAAGGUCCGGGUAGACCACCCGGUUGAUAGGACAGAAGUGCAAGCGUAGUAAUACGUUCAGCUUACUGUUACUAAUGACC
This 1267-nucleotide ribosomal RNA is filed under the name metagenome. Its description in RNAcentral is "bacterial LSU rRNA". It matches the Rfam family "Bacterial large subunit ribosomal RNA", at positions 1625 to 2909 of the family's 2925-position model. The record is from RNAcentral.